Molecule: transfer RNA, 91 nt
Filed under: Glycomyces algeriensis
Lineage: Bacteria; Bacillati; Actinomycetota; Actinomycetes; Glycomycetales; Glycomycetaceae
Description: tRNA-Asn
Source: RNAcentral
GGCGAUGUCGGCGAGGGUCUCGCGUCCGGCCAUGUUGGUGUCGUCCCAGUAGGUGCUGUGGUUGUUGGCGUUCCAGGCGCCGGUGUCGCUG